UACGAAGGGUGCAAGCGUUAAUCGGAAUUACUGGGCGUAAAGCGCGCGUAGGUGAUUCGUUAAGUUGGAUGUGAAAGCCCCGGGCUCAACCUGGGAGCUGCAUCCAAAACUGGCGAGCUAGAGUACGGUAGAGGGUGGUGGAAUUUCCUGUGUAGCGGUGAAAUGCGUAGAUAUAGGAAGGAACACCAGUGGCGAAGGCGACCACCUGGACUGAUACUGACACUGAGGUGCGAAAGCGUGGGGAGCAAACAGG
This 253-nucleotide ribosomal RNA is filed under the name uncultured bacterium. RNAcentral describes it as "partial 16S ribosomal RNA". It matches the Rfam family "Bacterial small subunit ribosomal RNA", at positions 524 to 776 of the family's 1533-position model. The record is from RNAcentral.